Molecule: long non-coding RNA, 396 nt
Organism: Triticum aestivum (bread wheat)
Lineage: Eukaryota; Viridiplantae; Streptophyta; Magnoliopsida; Poales; Poaceae
Exons: 3
Source: RefSeq, a predicted model, not a curated record
UCCAUUGCGGCCAUCUGGAAUCGCCUCGCCGCUCCGUGGACUCGUCUCGCCGCUGCCGCUUGGAGUGUCCGCCGCCGCCACCUGUUGGCCGUCACCAGCAAGGCCAAUAUUCAGUUGAGAGGCUGGGAAGCAUCAAGCAAGUAUCAUUGGCAUGAGGAUUCAGUAAAUUGAUGAUCAUUCAGUCAUCGAGAUGACUUGAUGAAAAGAGGCAUGGAUGCAACUUAUGGGGCAGUAUUUUGAUCUCAUCUCAUGCAUUUCAUUAUUCUUUAUAACAUGCAAUUUUAUUAAAUAUUUAUCUAUACUUGCCGUAUCGCUGUAUUGACAUUUCUAGAAAUUGCCGUAUCCCGUAUCCCCAUACCCAUAUCGCCCUAUCCGUGUUGCCGUAUCGGUGCUACG